CGGGAGGCAGCAGUAGGGAAUCUUCCACAAUGGACGAAAGUCUGAUGGAGCAACGCCGCGUGAGUGAUGAAGGUUUUCGGAUCGUAAAACUCUGUUGUUAAAGAAGAACAAGUGUUAGAGUAACUGUUAACACUUUGACGGUAUUUAACCAGAAAGCCACGGCUAACUACGUGCCAGCAGCCGCGGUAAUACGUAGGUGGCAAGCGUUGUCCGGAUUUAUUGGGCGUAAAGCGAGCGCAGGCGGUUUUGUAAGUCUGCUGUGAAAGCCCUCAGCUCAACUGAGGAAGUGCAGUGGAAACUACAAAACUUGAGUACAGAAGAGGAAAGUGGAACUCCAUGUGUAGCGGUGAAAUGCGUANAUAUAUGGAAGAACACCAGUGGCGAAGGCGGCUUCUGGUCUGUUACUGACNCUGAGGCUCGAAAGCAUGGGUAGCGAACAGGAUUANAUACCCUUGGUAGUCCAUGCCGUAAACGAUGAAUACUAGGUGUUGGAGGGGUUUCCGCCCUUUCAGUGCCGCAGCUAAACGCAUUAAGUAUUUCCGCCUGGGGAGUACGACCGCAAGGUUGAAACUCAAAGGAAUUGANCGGGGGCCCGCACAAGUGGUGGAGCAUGUGGUUUAAUUCGAUGCUACGCGAAGAACCUUACCAGCUCUUGACAUCUUCUGCCAACCCAAGAGAUUGGGCGUUCCCUUCGGGGACAGAAUGACAGGUGGUGCAUGGUUGUCGUCAGCUCGUGUCGUGAGAUGUUGGGUUAAGUCCCGCAACGAGCGCAACCCUUAUUAUUAGUUGCCAGCAUUUAGUUGGGCACUCUAGUGAGACUGCCGGUGAUAAACCGGAGGAAGGUGGGGACGACGUCAAAUCAUCAUGCCCCUUAUGAGCUGGGCUACACACGUGCUACAAUGGAUGGUACAACGAGUCGCGAAACCGCGAGGUCAAGCUAAUCUCUUAAAGCCAUUCUCAGUUCGGAUUGCAGGCUGCAACUCGCCUGCAUGAAGUUGGAAUCACUAGUAAUCGUGGAUCAGCAUGCCACGGUGAAUACGUUCCCGGGCCUUGUACAGC
Molecule: ribosomal RNA, 1059 nt
Filed under: Lactobacillus sp. H2_5_3MCO2
Lineage: Bacteria; Bacillati; Bacillota; Bacilli; Lactobacillales; Lactobacillaceae
Description: bacterial SSU rRNA
Rfam family: Bacterial small subunit ribosomal RNA
Source: RNAcentral